RNAcentral lists this ribosomal RNA (454 nucleotides) under uncultured Prevotella sp. Its description in RNAcentral is "partial 16S ribosomal RNA". It matches the Rfam family "Bacterial small subunit ribosomal RNA", at positions 341 to 792 of the family's 1533-position model. Lineage: Bacteria; Pseudomonadati; Bacteroidota; Bacteroidia; Bacteroidales; Prevotellaceae. The record is from RNAcentral.
ACGGAAGGCAGCAGUGAGGAAUAUUGGUCAAUGGGCGGAAGCCUGAACCAGCCAAGUCGCGUGAAGGAUGAAGGUAUUAUGUAUUGUAAACUUCUUUAGACGUAGAGAAAUAAGAGGCUCGUGAGCCUUGAUGCUAGUAUACGUAGAAUAAGGAUCGGCUAACUCCGUGCCAGCAGCCGCGGUAAUACGGAGGAUCCGAGCGUUAUCCGGAUUUAUUGGGUUUAAAGGGAGCGUAGGCCGUGCUUUAAGCGUGUUGUGAAAUGUAGGCGCCCAACGUCUGCACUGCAGCGCGAACUGGAGCACUUGAGUACGCAGGAAGUAGGCGGAAUUCGUCGUGUAGCGGUGAAAUGCUUAGAUAUGACGAAGAACUCCGAUUGGGAAGCCAGCUUACUGUAGCGCCACUGACGCUGAUGCUCGAAAGCGUGGGUAUCGAACAGGAUUAGAUACCCUGGUA